GUGCCAGCCGCCGCGGUAAGACGAACCGUGCGAACGUUGUUCGGAAUCACUGGGCUUAAAGGGCGCGUAGGCGGGCUCGCAAGUCAGGGGUGAAAGCCCGCGGCUCAACCGCGGAAGCGCCUUUGAUACUGCGGGCCUCGAGGGGGGUAGGGGCGUGCGGAACUUCCGGUGGAGCGGUGAAAUGCGUAGAUAUCGGAAGGAACACCGGUGGCGAAAGCGGCGCGCUGGACCCCUUCUGACGCUGAGGCGCGAAAGCCAGGGGAGCAAACGGGAUUAGAUACCCCCGUAGUCC
Molecule: ribosomal RNA, 292 nt
Filed under: uncultured bacterium
Lineage: Bacteria
Description: partial 16S ribosomal RNA
Rfam family: Bacterial small subunit ribosomal RNA
Source: RNAcentral